CGGCGGCGGAGUUCUGGGUGAACUCUCAGGACCUCCAGAUGACAGCUGGAAUGGUAGCCAGGUGGAAUGCUAUGGAAUAUGAUGAGAAGCUGGCCCGGUUCCGGCAGGCCCACCUCAACCCCUUCAACAAGGAGCUGGGGCCAAGGCAGCAUGAGCAGGGACCUAGUGAGCAGGCCCUGGACAUUUCUUCUGAAGAGGCCCUGCCUGAGCUGCCCCCUGGGGAGCCUGAGUUCCACUGCUCCGGGCGCGUGAUGGAUCUCGGCCUGUCUGAGGACCACUUCUCCCGCCCUGUGGGUCUGUUCCUGGCCUCCGAUGUCCAGCAGCUACAGCAGGCGAUUGAGGAGUGCAGGCAGGUGAUCCUGGAGCUGCCUGAGCAGUCGGAGAAGCAGAAGGACGCAGUGGUCAGGCUCAUCCACCUGCGGCUGAAGCUGCAGGAGCUGCAGGACCCCAAUGAGGAUGAGCCCAACAUUAGGGUCCUUCUUGAGCACCGCUUCUACAAGGAGAAGAGCAAGAGUGUCAAGCAAGCCUGUGACAAGUGCAAGACCGUCAUCUGGGGACUCCUUCAGACUUGGUACACCUGCACAGGGUGUUACUACCGCUGCCACAGCAAGUGCUUGAGCCUCAUCUCCAAGCCCUGCGUGAGCUCCAAAGUUAGCCACCAGGCUGAGUAUGAGCUGAACAUCUGCCCUGAGACAGGGCUGGACAGCCAGGAUUACCGCUGCGCGGAGUGCCGGGUGCCCAUCUCUUUGCGGGGCGUGCCCAGCGAGGCCCGUCAGUGCGACUACACAGGCCAGUACUACUGCAGCCACUGCCACUGGAAUGACCUGGCCGUCAUCCCUGCACGAGUGGUGCACAACUGGGACUUUGAGCCCCGCAAGGUGUCUCGCUGCAGCAUGCGCUACCUGGCGCUAAUGGUGUCCCGGCCAGUGCUCCGACUCCGGGAGAUCAACCCUCUGCUCUUCAACUACGUGGAGGAGCUGGUGGAGAUCCGGAAGCUGCGCCAGGACAUUCUGCUCAUGAAGCCAUACUUCAUCACUUGCAAGGAGGCCAUGGAAGCUCGUCUGCUACUGCAGCUCCAGGACCGGCAGCACUUUGUGGAGAACGAUGAGAUGUACUCCAUCCAGGACCUGUUGGAUGUCCACGUGGGCCGCCUGGGCUGCUCGCUCACUGAGACCCACACACUCUUCGCCAAGCACAUCAAGCUGGACUGUGAGCGGUGCCAGGCCAAGGGGUUCGUGUGUGAGCUCUGCAGAGAGGGCGAUGUGCUGUUCCCAUUCGACAGCCACACAUCUGUGUGUGCCGACUGCUCAGCCGUCUUCCACAGGGACUGCUACUACGACAACUCAACCACAUGUCCCAAGUGUGCCCGGCUCAACUUGAGGAAGCAGUCACUCUUCCAGGAGCCCGAUCCAGACUUGGAUGCCUAGAACACUGGGCACACCACCUGCCUAUCUGGCACCCACCCCACUGGCAUUGUCAAAGCCAGGGUGCUGUUUCUGCCCUGAAGACCCUUUGGGUGCAUCCUUUGGAUGUCUUCACUCCUGCUGGGCCAGAAGUGGAGAUGGGAUCUACAGUUUUGAACAGGAUCUCAAAGGGGCUAUGAUCCAGAUGACACCAGGACUCUGCUUUAGGAAGUGUCUUUAUACAUCAUCCAUAUGUAACUGCAUCCAGAUGGACUAGUAUGCUGCAACUCUCUGCCCCAGAGAAGCCCAAGAGCACAUCUACUUCUUUCCUUCUAUUGGAGACCCUUAGAAGGGUAAGAGGAAGGGCUUCCCAGGGCAAUUGUGGACUGGGAUGCUGACUAUGCCUCCAACAACUCAGUAGCUAAAGUUGCACUUGGGACAUGAGAUAGAGAGUGCAAUUUUCCCCCUUUCAGAAUAUGCUUUUUUCUUUUUAUGUUUUCACUUUGGCAAAUUGAAAUUUACAGGAAAGUUGUAAAAAUCUCCCCAUUUGCCACCUCCUGGAUUCUCUAAAUGUUAACAUCUGGCGCCACAUGCUAUUCUCUUCCUUCACACAUUCCGCUCUGAGACAUUGGACAUCAAGCUGCAAACAGCUUGCUUCUAUACUCUUCCUUUUCUGUGCAUAUGUGUGUAUACCCACUCCAUAGAGACACUGCCUUUCAUGGCCAUAGUGCAACCAUCAAAGGAAAUUAAUACUGACACAGUACUAUAAAACUUAUAGCAGAUCUUAUUCAGAUUUUGCAAGUUUUCUAUUUUAUAGUCAACCUCGUUUCCUUCUCCCAAAUCUCAGACUACAUUCUGUUGCCAAGUCUCUUUAGCCUUUUUUUUUUUUUUUUAAUUUUUUAAUAUUUAUUUUUUAGUUUUCGGCGGACACAACAUCUUUGUUGGUAUGUGGUGCUGAGGAUCGAACCCGGGCCGCACGCAUGCCAGACGAGCGCGCUACCGCUUGAGCCACAUCCCCAGCCCCUCUCUUUAGCCUUUAAUCUGACCAAACACUGACAUUUUUGAAAGGUGCAUCAGACUUUUUUUUGGUGGUGGUUGUUGGUAAUCACACCUAGGGAACUCACAUGUGCUAGGCACGUGUUCUACUACAAAGCUACAUUCCCCAGCCCCCAGACGAUUUUUUUUUUUUAAAGAAAGGGGGGGAGAGAGAGAAUAUUUUUUUUUUAAUAUUUAUUUUUCAGUUCUCGGCAGACACAACAUCUUUGUUUGUAUGUGGUGCUGAGGAUCGAACCCGGGCCGCACGAAUGGCAGGGGAGCUCGAUACCGCUUGAGCCACAUCCCCAGCCCCCAGACGAAUUAUUUUGAAGAACAAUUCUAAUGAUGUCCACUAACAAUUGAUGAUUGACUAAUUGUCAUUCUACCUACAUUUAUAAGUUGACUAUUAUCUGGAAGAGUUCUAUUUCUCUUUUUAUGUCCUCGAGUUUCUACUUUACUCAUUGAGUUCUUUACUGAAAUCAUAAUGUCCCAGAUUAGGCCAGUGGUAGCCUUUCAACCUGUUUUCUGUAUCCUCAUGUGCCUCUUUAUUUAUUUACAUAUAUAUAUUAUAUAUAUAUAUAUAUAUAUAUAUAUAUAUAUUAUAUAUAUUUUAAAGAGAGAGAGAAUUUUAAUAUUUAUUUUUUUAGUUAUCGGCGGACACAACAUCUUUGUUUGUAUGUGGUGCUGAGGAUCGAACCCUGGGCCGCACGCAUGCCAGGCAAGCACGCUACCGCUUGAGCCCCCUCUUUUUUUCUUACUAAGCCACAAAGGGUGGUCUUGAAUUCAAGCCUUCUGAAUAGUUGGGACUAAUGGGCCCAUGCCCGUGCCUGGCACACACUUUCUGAUAUAUGCAAGAAGGUAAUGAGAAACAAUGUGUAGUUUUAAUUUGUAUUUCUCUAAUUACAAGUAUGAUUGAACUUCUUUUCAUAUUUCGGAAUCUAAUUUAUGAAUUGUCUUUUUUUUAUGUGGUGCUUAAGUACCUCACACAUACCAGGCAAGCACACUACUACUUGAGCCAUAUCUCCAGCCCCAUGAAUUGUCUUUUGUCCAAGUAUUUUCCUUCUCAAACUUUAAGAAUUCUAUGCAAGUUAGGGAUUUAGCCCAUUUAUUGUGAAAUAUCUUGCAAAUAUUUUCUUUCAGUUUCUCAAUACCUUUUGACCUUGUUUGCAUUCCCAUGGAAAUGUUUUAUUUUGAUUAUACUUUUAUAUGGCCAAAAUUGAUUAAUAUUUUGUUUCACUUAAUCUGGGCUUCAAGUCAUUGAAAAAUUUUCCCUACACCUGGGUAAAAAGGCAUCCACUUCUGGGAGUGGUGGUGUGUGCCUCAAGUUCUAGGCUCAGCAGACUGAGGCAGGAGGGUCAUUUGAGCCCAGAAGUUCAGGACCAGCUGGGUAACAGCUAGACCCCGUUUCUAUAAAAGAAGAGAAAUUCACUCAUGCACACUUGCAUGGUUUCACAUUUCUCUUCAGAUUCCUGGUCUGUUUUGAGCAUAUUUUGUGAGGUAUAGAUCUAAUUUUAUGUUCCUCCAAACGGUCAACCAGUUAUCUUGAACUAUCUUUUGCAAAAUCUAUCUGCAUCCAUGUCUGAACUCUCUGUUCCCAUCCACAAGCCUGACUCUCACACUGCUUUAAUUAUGGGGCCUUGAUCUUGUGCUCUAAUGUCUGAAAAGGCUAGUCUCCUUUUUGCAAGUUUUCUUUUUUUCCUGAUGUAAAUAAAAAAAAUGUUUUCACAGAUGUAAA
This is an RNA transcript of Marmota monax (woodchuck), 4173 nucleotides long. It is a transcript of the gene named differentially expressed in FDCP 8 homolog, with no coding region annotated. The transcript has 14 exons. The record is from RefSeq and is a predicted model, not a curated record. NCBI's taxonomy places the organism in Eukaryota, Metazoa, Chordata, Mammalia, Rodentia, Sciuridae.